AGAGUUUGAUCCUGGCUCAGGACGAACGCUGGCGGCGUGCCUAACACAUGCAAGUCGAGCGGGGACAUUGCGACGGAGACGAAGUACUCGUACGGAGUCAAAGAUGUAAUGUUCUAGCGGCGGACGGGUGAGUAACGCGUGAGCAACCUGUCCCUUACAGGGGGAUAACACAGCGAAAGUUGUACUAAUACCGCAUGAGACCACAGGAUGACAUCAUCCAGGGGUCAAAGGAGCAAUCCGGUAAGGGGUGGGCUCGCGUCCGAUUAGAUAGUUGGUGAGGUAACGGCCCACCAAGUCGACGAUCGGUAGCCGACCUGAGAGGGUGAUCGGCCACAUUGGGACUGAGACACGGCCCAAACUCCUACGGGAGGCAGCAGUGGGGGAUAUUGCACAAUGGGGGGAACCCUGAUGCAGCGACGCCGCGUGAAGGAAGAAGUGCUUCGGCAUGUAAACUUCUAUCAGCAGGGAAGAAGAUGACGGUACCUGCACAAGAAGCCCCGGCUAACUACGUGCCAGCAGCCGCGGUAAUACGUAGGGGGCAAGCGUUAUCCGGAUUUACUGGGUGUAAAGGGAGCGUAGACGGCGAUGCAAGUCUGAUGUGAAAACCCGGGGCUCAACCGCGGGAUUGCAUUGGAAACUGUGUUGCUUGAGUACUGGAGGGGCAGGCGGAAUUCCUAGUGUAGCGGUGAAAUGCGUAGAUAUUGGGAAGAACAUCGGUGGCGAAGGCGACUUGCUGGCCAGUAACUGACGCUGAGGUGCGAAAGCCAGGGUAGCAAACGGGAUUAGAUACCCCGGUAGUCCUGGCCGUAAACGAUGAAUGCUAGGUGUGCGUGCAGAGAUGCAGGUGUGCCGCAGUUAACGCGAUAAGCAUUCCGCCUGGGGAGUACGGUCGCAAGAUUGAAACUCAAAGGAAUUGACGGGGGCCCGCACAAGCGGUGGAGCGCGUGGUUUAAUUCGAUGCAAACCGAAGAACCUUACCUGGGUUUGACAUGUAAGUGGUAGGAGCUGGAAACAGUGACGAAUCUGCCGCAAGGUAGAUAGCUUACACAGGUGCUGCAUGGCAGUCGUCAGCUCGUGUCGUGAGAUGUUGGGUUAAGUCCCGCAACGAGCGCAACCCCUGCGGCUAGUUGCCAUCAAUACGGUUGGGCACUCUAGCAGGACUGCCAUCGACAAGAUGGAGGAAGGUGGGGACGACGUCAAGUCAUCAUGGCCCUUAUGUCCAGGGCGACACACGUGCUACAAUGGACGGUACAGAGGGAAGCGAGGCAGUGAUGUUGAGCGGAUCCCGAAAAGCCGUUCUCAGUUCGGAUUGAAGUCUGCAAUUCGACUUCAUGAAGCUGGAAUCGCUAGUAAUCGCAGAUCAGCCAAGCUGCGGUGAAUCCGUUCCCGGGCCUUGUACACACCGCCCGUCACACCACCCGAGCCGGGUGUACCCGAAGCCGGUGGCCUAACCGCAAGGAAGGAGCCGUCGAAGGUGUGUCUGGUGAGGGGGGUGAAGUCGUAACAAGGUAACCGUA
Molecule: ribosomal RNA, 1517 nt
Filed under: uncultured rumen bacterium
Lineage: Bacteria
Description: bacterial SSU rRNA
Rfam family: Bacterial small subunit ribosomal RNA
Source: RNAcentral